AACGAAGUAGCAAUACUUAGUGGCAGACGGGUGAGUAACAUGUGGGUAUCUUCCCUUUGGUGAGGAAUAACACGAGGAAACUUGUGCUAAUACCUCAUAAGUCUUUACGGAGAAAGCUUUAUGCGCCAUUGGAUGAGCCCGCACUUGAUUAGUUUGUUGGUAGGGUAAUGGCCUACCAAGACAUAGAUCAAUAGCUGAUUUGAGAGGAUGAUCAGCCACAUUGGGACUGAGACACGGCCCAAACUCCUACGGGAGGCAGCAGUAAGGAAUCUUGCACAAUGGAGGAAACUCUGAUGCAGCGAUGCCGCGUGAGUGAAGAAGGCCCUUGGGUUGUAAAGCUCUUUCGUCGGGGAAGAAAAUGACUGUACCCGAAUAAGAAGGUCCGGCUAACUUCGUGCCAGCAGCCGCGGUAAUACGAAGGGACCUAGCGUAGUUCGGAAUUACUGGGCUUAAAGAGUUCGUAGGUGGUUAAAAAUAGUUGGUGGUGAAAUCCCAGAGCUUAACUCUGGAACUGCCAUCAAAACUUUUUAG
RNAcentral lists this ribosomal RNA (531 nucleotides) under uncultured marine bacterium. RNAcentral describes it as "bacterial SSU rRNA". It matches the Rfam family "Bacterial small subunit ribosomal RNA", at positions 65 to 640 of the family's 1533-position model. The record is from RNAcentral.